Molecule: ribosomal RNA, 203 nt
Filed under: uncultured bacterium
Lineage: Bacteria
Description: partial 16S ribosomal RNA
Rfam family: Bacterial small subunit ribosomal RNA
Source: RNAcentral
UACAGAGGUCCCGAGCGUUGUUCGGAUUCACUGGGCGUAAAGGGUGCGUAGGUGGCGUUGGAAAGUUUGAGUGUGAAAGCUCAGGGCUUAACCCUGAAAUGGCAUUGAAUACUGCUGAGCUGGAGGUUUGGAGGGGGACUGGAAUCUUGGUGUAGCAGUGAAAUGCGUAGAUAUCAAGAGGAACACCAGUGGCGAAGGCGAGU